RNAcentral lists this ribosomal RNA (274 nucleotides) under uncultured bacterium. RNAcentral's name for it is "partial 16S ribosomal RNA". It matches the Rfam family "Bacterial small subunit ribosomal RNA", at positions 523 to 796 of the family's 1533-position model. The record is from RNAcentral.
AGACGGAGGGGGCUAGCGUUGUUCGGAAUUACUGGGCGUAAAGCGCGCGUAGGCGGGCUGGUAAGUUGGGGGUGAAAUCCCAGGGCUCAACCCUGGAACUGCCCUCAAUACUGCCAGUCUUGAGUUCGAGAGAGGUAAGUGGAAUUCCUAGUGUAGAGGUGAAAUUCGUAGAUAUUAGGAAGAACACCAGUGGCGAAGGCGGCUUACUGGCUCGAUACUGACGCUGAGGCGCGAAAGCGUGGGGAGCAAACAGGAUUAGAUACCCCGGUAGUCC